This 466-nucleotide ribosomal RNA is filed under the name uncultured bacterium. RNAcentral's name for it is "partial 16S ribosomal RNA". It matches the Rfam family "Bacterial small subunit ribosomal RNA", at positions 28 to 507 of the family's 1533-position model. The record is from RNAcentral.
GAUGAACGCUGGCGGCGUGCUUAACACAUGCAAGUCGAACGAUGAAGCUCAGCUUGCUGGGUGGAUUAGUGGCGAACGGGUGAGUAACACGUGAGUAACCUGCCCUUAACUCUGGGUUAAGCCUGGGAAACUAGGUCUAAUACCGGAUAGGAGCGUCCACCGCAUGGUGGGUGUUGGAAAGAUUUAUCGGUUUUGGAUGGACUCGCGGCCUAUCAGCUUGUUGGUGAGGUAAUGGCUCACCAAGGCGACGACGGGUAGCCGGCCUGAGAGGGUGACCGGCCACACUGGGACUGAGACACGGCCCAGACUCCUACGGGAGGCAGCAGUGGGGAAUAUUGCACAAUGGGCGAAAGCCUGAUGCAGCGACGCCGCGUGAGGGAUGACGGCCUUCGGGUUGUAAACCUCUUUCAGUAGGGAAGAAGCGAAAGUGACGGUACCUGCAGAAGAAGCACCGGCUAACUACGUG